RNAcentral lists this ribosomal RNA (301 nucleotides) under uncultured bacterium. RNAcentral's name for it is "partial 16S ribosomal RNA". It matches the Rfam family "Bacterial small subunit ribosomal RNA", at positions 509 to 807 of the family's 1533-position model. The record is from RNAcentral.
CAGUCGCCGCGGUAAUACGAAGGGUGCAAGCGUUACUCGGAAUUACUGGGCGUAAAGCGUGCGUAGGUGGUGGUUUAAGUCCGUUGUGAAAGCCCUGGGCUCAACCUGGGAAUUGCAGUGGAUACUGGGUCACUAGAGUGUGGUAGAGGAUAGUGGAAUUUCCGGUGUAGCAGUGAAAUGCGUAGAGAUCGGAAGGAACAUCUGUGGCGAAGGCGACUAUCUGGGCCAACACUGACUCUGAGGCACGAAAGCGUGGGGAGCAAACAGGAUUAGAUACCCCUGUAGUCCCUGUCUCUUAUAC